This 1464-nucleotide long non-coding RNA is filed under the name Anas zonorhyncha (Eastern spot-billed duck). RNAcentral describes it as "lncRNA (ENSAZOG00000017211.1)". Lineage: Eukaryota; Metazoa; Chordata; Aves; Anseriformes; Anatidae. The record is from RNAcentral.
UUACAGCAGAUAUUAAAUGCUCUGAUAGGAGCUUCGCCAGUGUUUGAGCUGUCUAUUAGAGGAAGGGAAAUUGUGAAUUGUUGUUCGCACUGUGUGCUGGUGCGGUAGUGUUAAGGUUGUUUCAGAAUCACUCAUCCUAGCUGAAUAAGUUAGUUUGGCUAUUUUUGUGUGUGCAUGUUUGUGCAUAAGCACAUUAUGACCAAACAGCUUACUAGCAUUAGAUGUCUUUAUACUGAAAUGAAAUGAAAAACAAGUUUUUGGAUCUAAAAUAGUUAAUUUAACAGAUAUUUAGAUCUUACAAUGCUCUUUUUAAGCAAUGGAUUUGUUGGAAUAACCAGGCUAUAUGACCAUUUGCUUUUAGCAGAGAAAUGCUGAUUUCCAUCAGCUGAAGGUCUAACCCCACAGGAAGUGGCACCUGAAAGAGUUUACAGCAACUUCCCUGCCUUCCACACCUUGAUCAUGCACAGGACUUUGCCUGCUUCUACACAUGAACUAACUUAGAAGAAACAUCACUUCCCAAUAUAACUGUUACGCUAUAAAUUAACAUUCACGUCAUGGCCAAAUCCUCGUAGCAGUUGUGCUGUACAGUGAAGCUGCUUUCCAGAGUCACAGAGGCACAGCCUGAGCAGUUUGUGGAGAAGGGGACCAAGUCCCCUCAGCCUAUGCUGGGCUCCAGGUGCUUAUAAAUUGGAGGGAAGGGCACUUGUAAUGCCUUUUUUUUUUUUCCUUUUUUUUUUUUUUUUUUUUUCUGGUAGCACCUGUAUGUUUGAAGUGGUUUAGCUGUUGAUAUUUUCAAGCAGGCCACAACAGUCACAAACCUCUCCUUUGAAACGGGGCCAGAAAAGCACAAACCCUCUGACUCCAGGAGGUGGGAUUUUAAGAAAAGCUACCAGCAGUCGCACAGGUACUGAGGAAAAUGGUGGCACAUAAUGAGCAGGGCACUGUGACUGAAUGCGAGAGGAGAGCAUGCAGCAAGGCACCACAGCAAGAAUGAGGUGCACCCCCAAACAAGUUGUGCACAUGUGGACUGAUGCCAAUGGAACCAAUGGAAUGUCUCUGGGUACACAUUCACUGGGACUGAGGUCCUACCACAUUCUGGGGAUCUGAGUGACCAGGGUAUAGCUCUCCACUCCUUUAUUUUCCUUGAGACAAAGCUUGAAGUGUUCUGUGAAGGAAGAAUCGUACUUGAUUCCCUCAGCUCAUAGUAAGUUGAACUUUAAGCUUUCUAUUGAAGUUAAUCACACUUUCUCUCAUGAGUGAAAAUGUUUUUAACAUGAAACAAUACUCCGCUGAGGCUUGACAAACUAUAUUUUAAUUGUAAUUGAUUUAUACCAAAAGAUAAAAUGAGUUAAUUAGGGCAUGCUAUCAGAAUUAGUGGCAAGGGAAAUACUUUAUACAGCUGGCAGGUAGGGGGUAGGAGACAAGAGAUUUUAAAAGGGAAUAGGACAUUGGCAUUUUUUAACC